AGAGGAAUCACUGAGUCACAUGGUGGUCGCUUGUUCAAUCUUUUGAGAAAUUGCCAAACUAUUUUUUACAGUAGCUGUGCCAUUUUACAUUCCCACCAGCAAU
RNAcentral lists this microRNA precursor (103 nucleotides) under Marmota monax (woodchuck). The record is from RNAcentral. Lineage: Eukaryota; Metazoa; Chordata; Mammalia; Rodentia; Sciuridae.